This is a non-coding RNA of Labrus bergylta (ballan wrasse), 842 nucleotides long. The record is from RefSeq and is a predicted model, not a curated record. NCBI's taxonomy places the organism in Eukaryota, Metazoa, Chordata, Actinopteri, Labriformes, Labridae.
GAGAUUCAGAUGUGUUAUUAAUCCCUGAUGGUCAAUUCAGUCACACAGCCUUUAGAGUCUUAUUAAAAGAAGUCAAGACAAAGUAAAGAGUUACAUUUACAUGCCAGUAACAACAGGUCACCAAAGGAGAUAACAAUCUAUUUAAAGAAACACAAUGUCAGAAAUGUCUAAGGUGAUCCUUAAAACCAGGAGGUGACUAUCCUUCCAUGUAGUUUUAAAUUGUGACUUUAGGGCAGCAUCCAUUCAGGGUUGAUUAGACCAAUUUCAUAUUUUACUACAGAUCAGGUCUGUGAGAUUGAGUGGUUAUAGUUCACUCUCAGGUAUGCUGCAAGAGUUCAGCCAAGUAUGAAUUUCUAAUCUGGCUUUUUUUUUUCUUUACAGCAUUGAAAGGCAGCCAAUAUAAACUUAUACUGAUUGUUGUAACCAUCGUCUUAUCUCUUGGUGUUUUGGCUGUAAUUGUAAUUGGAGGAUUAUAUUGUCAUCGAAGGAGAAAACCAAUGAAUACAGACCUCCCUCUGCAGCAGAGACCAACAAAUGAUGCCCCAGCUGGUCCUCCACCCUCCAUCUACUCCUUGUUGGGGCCUCCCAUCGUCUCUGAAGCACCCACUCAGCCCAGAGACAACGCUCAGCCAGAGAGCUGACACAUACAAUAGAACUGUUUUGAUGUAGAUAUUUUAUUUUUUUAAAUUAAUUUACUGUAUAUAUUUCAAAUGCUACGUUCUAUUUUUUUACAUAGUUUUAUUGCUAAUUUGUGUUUUUGCUAAUAUUUGAUCAUCUUGAUGCUUCUUAUCAAAUGUUUCUUUAAACCUUAAUGUGAAUAAAGCCUUUUUAAUUUAAAGCUA